RNAcentral lists this ribosomal RNA (464 nucleotides) under uncultured bacterium. RNAcentral describes it as "partial 16S ribosomal RNA". It matches the Rfam family "Bacterial small subunit ribosomal RNA", at positions 28 to 507 of the family's 1533-position model. The record is from RNAcentral.
GACGAACGCUGGCGGCGUGCUUAACACAUGCAAGUCGAACGGAAAGGCCCAGCUUGCUGGGUGCUCGAGUGGCGAACGGGUGAGUAACACGUGGGUGAUCUGCCCCUAACUUCGGGAUAAGCUUGGGAAACUGGGUCUAAUACCGGAUAGGACAAUCGUUUAGUGUCUGUUGGGGAGAGUUUUUUCGGUUAGGGAUGAGCUCGCGGCCUAUCAGCUUGUUGGUUGGGUAAUGGCCUACCAAGGCGUCGACGGGUAGCCGGCCUGGGAGGGUGGACGGCCACAUUGGGACUGAGAUACGGCCCAGACUCCUACGGGAGGCAGGAGUGGGGAAUAUUGCACAAUGGGAGCAAGCCUGAUGCAGCGACGCCGCGUGGGGGAUGACGGCCUUCGGGUUGUAAACCUCAUCCGACAGGGACGAAGCUUUGGUGACGGUACCUGUAGAAGAAGCACCGGCUAACUACGUG